Molecule: non-coding RNA, 760 nt
Organism: Paramuricea clavata
Lineage: Eukaryota; Metazoa; Cnidaria; Anthozoa; Malacalcyonacea; Plexauridae
Source: the annotation of a GenBank genome assembly
UUCAAUUUUAAAAAUUUUGGAAAGAAAAAAUUCCCCUCCCCCCCUUCCAUAAAUAAUGACCGGUCCCUAAUAUGGUAUUUCACUUUUCCACGACACUGUUGAAGUCAUUUUGUCUUGCAGGCAAAUACCAUGGUGAGAAACUGUUCGUAGCUAACUGUUAUCCAGCCAUUCAAGUUGUAAUCAUGUUGUUUGAAAGCAUUUGUCAAAGUCUAAAAAGUUAGAGAAAUUAAUACGAGUAUUAUUGUGAUAUAAUAUGUUGGGACGGGGGCGGAUGGGUGGUGAGUAAACCUAGUAUUAAAAGCUUUAUUGGCGGAGGGCAUCGCCUCAAUUCUUGCAAGAGGGCUCACUGUUGCAUUUUUCGCAGCUGCUCCUGUUUAAGUGUAAAAACGUAUGUUUAGUAUAUUUAGAUUCUUGUUAUUGUAUGGAAAUUGACAUUUCUCCUGGGACAUGUUGAUUGGAAAAGUUCCUGUGAGUAGAAGGCGACCAGAUUAAGGUUUGUGUAUGAAGGCCCAUUUCGAACCCUAAAAAUAUUUCAUAGUUGAUUUCCCAUAACUUUUCCCUAACUAAAUGUUUAAUUAAUAACUAAAUUAAAUACCACGUAAUUGCACUAGUUACUAUGAGGAGUGUUAUUCGCGCGCAAUGCUGACACCAACUAGGGGGGAGGCGAAGGCGAGACUGAAAUUUUCAGCGCGAAAUCUUACAUUUUACUAUAUGCGUAAAGAAACCUAAGCAAGUUUGAACAUUGGAAUAAUAAUAUCGG